Molecule: ribosomal RNA, 628 nt
Filed under: Clostridium botulinum
Lineage: Bacteria; Bacillati; Bacillota; Clostridia; Eubacteriales; Clostridiaceae
Description: partial 23S ribosomal RNA
Rfam family: Bacterial large subunit ribosomal RNA
Source: RNAcentral
AGGUCAAGCUACAAAGGGCGCAUGGUGAAUGCCUUGGCAUCAGGAGCCGAUGAAGGACGCGAUAAGCUGCGAUAAGCUUCGGGUAGACGCACAUAGUCAGAGAUCCGAAGAUUUCCGAAUGAGGAAACUCACAUGGGAAACCCCAUGUAUCGUAAAGUGAAUACAUAGCUUUAUGAAGGUAAACCCAGGGAACUGAAACAUCUAAGUACCUGGAGGAAGAGAAAGAAAAAUCGAUUUUCUUAGUAGCGGCGAGCGAAAGGGAAAGAGCCCAAACCAAAGAUUUAUCUUUGGGGUUGCGGACAGAACAUUAACGAGAAAUUAUGGUUAACCGAACACAACUGGAAAGUUGGACCGUAGGGGGUAAUAGUCCUGUAGGUGAAAAUUAUAAUAAUCAAGUUCUGAUCCAGAGUACCACGAGACACGUGAAACCUUGUGGGAAGCAGGGAGGACCACCUCCCAAGGCUAAAUACUACCUGAUGACCGAUAGUGAAGCAGUACCGUGAGGGAAAGGUGAAAAGAACCCCGGGAGGGGAGUGAAAUAGAACCUGAAACCAUGUGCCUACAACCGAUCAAAGCACCUUAUGUGUGUGAUGAUGUGCUUUUUGUAGAACGAGCCAACGAGUUACGG